AUCAGGAGGANCACCGAUGGCGAAGGCAGGUCUCUGGGCCGAUAUUGACGCUGAGGAGCGAAAGCGUGGGGAGCGAACAGGAUUAGAUACCCUGGUAGUCCACGCCGUAAACGGUGGGCGCUAGGUGUGGGGCACUUUCCACGUGCUCUGUGCCGCAGCUAACGCAUUAAGCGCCCCGCCUGGGGAGUACGGCCGCAAGGCUAAAACUCAAAGGAAUUGACGGGGGCCCGCACAAGCGGCGGAGCAUGCGGCUUAAUUCGAAGCAACGCGAAGAACCUUACCAAGGCUUGACAUAUAGGGAAAUCUCAUAGAGAUAUGAGGUCCGCAAGGGUCCUAUACAGGUGGUGCAUGGUUGUCGUCAGCUCGUGUCGUGAGAUGUUGGGUUAAGUCCCGCAACGAGCGCAACCCUCGUUCUAUGUUGCCAGCACGUAAUGGUGGGGACUCAUAGGAGACUGCCGGGGUCAACUCGGAGGAAGGUGGGGAUGACGUCAAAUCAUCAUGCCCCUUAUGUCUUGGGCUGCACGCAUGCUACAAUGGCCGGUACAAAGGGCUGCGAUACCGCAAGGUGGAGCGAAUCCCAUAAAGCCGGUCUCAGUUCGGAUUGGGGUCUGCAACUCGACCCCAUGAAGUCGGAGUCGCUAGUAAUCGCAGAUCAGCAACGCUGCGGUGAAUACGUUCCCGGGCCUUGUACACACCGCCCGUCACGUCACGAAAGUCGGUAACACCCGAAGCCGGUGGCCCAACCCUUGUGGAGGGAGCCGUCGAAGGUGGGAUCGGCGAUUGGGACGAAGUCGUAACAAGGUAGCC
RNAcentral lists this ribosomal RNA (807 nucleotides) under uncultured bacterium. Its description in RNAcentral is "bacterial SSU rRNA". It matches the Rfam family "Bacterial small subunit ribosomal RNA", at positions 696 to 1501 of the family's 1533-position model. The record is from RNAcentral.